This 468-nucleotide ribosomal RNA is filed under the name uncultured bacterium. RNAcentral's name for it is "partial 16S ribosomal RNA". It matches the Rfam family "Bacterial small subunit ribosomal RNA", at positions 28 to 507 of the family's 1533-position model. The record is from RNAcentral.
GACGAACGCUGGCGGCGUGCUUAACACAUGCAAGUCGAACGGAAAGACCCUGCUUUUGUGGGGUGCUCGAGUGGCGAACGGGUGAGUAACACGUGAGUAACCUGCCCUUGACUUUGGGAUAACUUCAGGAAACUGGGGCUAAUACCGGAUAGGAGCUCCUGCUGCAUGGUGGGGGUUGGAAAGUUUCGGCGGUUGGGGAUGGACUCGCGGCUUAUCAGCUUGUUGGUGGGGUAGUGGCUUACCAAGGCUUUGACGGGUAGCCGGCCUGAGAGGGUGACCGGCCACAUUGGGACUGAGAUACGGCCCAGACUCCUACGGGAGGCAGCAGUGGGGAAUAUUGCACAAUGGGCGGAAGCCUGAUGCAGCAACGCCGCGUGCGGGAUGACGGCCUUCGGGUUGUAAACCGCUUUCGCCUGUGACGAAGCGUGAGUGACGGUAAUGAGUAAAGAAGCACCGGCUAACUACGUG